Molecule: ribosomal RNA, 442 nt
Filed under: uncultured bacterium
Lineage: Bacteria
Description: partial 16S ribosomal RNA
Rfam family: Bacterial small subunit ribosomal RNA
Source: RNAcentral
CCUACGGGGUGCAGCAGUGGGGAAUAUUGGGCAAUGGGCGCAAGCCUGACCCAGCAAUGCCGCGUGAAGGAAGAAGGCUUUCGGGUUGUAAACUUCUUUGACAGGGGAAGAGCAGAAGACGGUACCCUGAAAACAAGCCACGGCUAACUACGUGCCAGCAGCCGCGGUAAUACGUAGGUGGCAAGCGUUGUCCGGAUUUACUGGGUGUAAAGGGCGUGUAGCCGGGAAGGCAAGUCAGAUGUGAAAUCUGGAGGCUCAACCUCCAAAUUGCAUUUGAAAAUGUUUUUCUUGAGUACUGGAGAGGCAGACGGAAUUCCUUGUGUAGCGGUGAAAUGCGUAGAUAUAAGGAGGAACACCAGUGGCGAAGGCGGUCUGCUGGACAGCAACUGACGGUGAGGCGCGAAAGCGUGGGGAGCAAACAGGAUUAGAUACCCUAGUAGUC